UUCGUGACUGGGGUGAAGUCGUAACAAGGUAGCCGUAUCGGAAGGUGCGGCUGGAUCACCUCCUUUCUAGA
RNAcentral lists this ribosomal RNA (71 nucleotides) under Pseudoduganella ginsengisoli. Its description in RNAcentral is "partial 16S ribosomal RNA". It matches the Rfam family "Bacterial small subunit ribosomal RNA", at positions 1468 to 1533 of the family's 1533-position model. The record is from RNAcentral. Lineage: Bacteria; Pseudomonadati; Pseudomonadota; Betaproteobacteria; Burkholderiales; Oxalobacteraceae. RNAcentral also lists the same sequence under 1 other name.